Rattus norvegicus (Norway rat) is the source of this 148-nucleotide small nucleolar RNA. Ensembl annotates it as small nucleolar RNA SNORA48. NCBI's taxonomy places the organism in Eukaryota, Metazoa, Chordata, Mammalia, Rodentia, Muridae. The record is from Ensembl.
UGGUCCUUGCUGGCAAUGGGCAGAGAGACACCUUGUUGGCAGUGGUGUUCUCAUAUCGGUGAGGGGCAGAGCAGAUGGCAGGCCUUUGUUCAUCCCAGUUUGAUGGAUGGCUUAGUGGCCAAAGCUGCCUUAUGCCUAGGACUUAAAA